UUGGUUCCAAGUCUUUGCUAUUGUGAAUAGUGCCGCAAUAAACAUACGUGUGCAUGUGUCUUUAUAGCAGCAUGAUUUAUAGUCCUUUGGGUAUAUUGAAAACUGGCACAAGACAGGGAUGCAUUGUUAAAAAAAUAAUAUUUCUGGGGAAAAGGCUCAGUGCUCAACGGUUACUCUAUAAAGAGAUUUAAAAAGAAAGUCAAGGGAAGAUAAGGAAGGUAGCAUGGCUAACAACCUCGUGGGUUCUACUAGCAUUAUUUCAUGCAAAAUGUCAUUAACCUUUAUAUAGGAGAGAAUAAGUCUGGGAAUCAACUGGCAUCUAAACUCCAUUUCUUGUUUUGUCACUGCUUCCCUGGUUGACUAUGGAAAAUACAUUUGGUCUUUUGAUACCUUGGUUUCAACAACUAUAACAUGACUUAAGAACUUUUAUGCAUGGACUUUGUAAUAGUUAUCUAUUUCUGCAUACAAAUUACUUCAAAACUUAAAUCGUCGUUUGAAACAACAAACACUAUCUCACAGUUUCUGUGGGUCAGGAGUCCAGACAUGGCUUAUUGGGUAACCGCCUCAAAGUCUUACUAGGCUGUAAUACAGUUAUUGGCUAGAGCUGCUGUUUCAUCUGAAGGUUCAAUUGAGAGAGGAUCCACUUCUAAGCUCACUCACAUGGUUGCUGGCACAAUUCAAUUCCUCUCAGGCUAUUGGAUUAAGGGUCUCAGUUCCCUACUGACUGUUGGUCAGUGAACUUUCCUCAGUUCUUUGCCAUAUGGGGAUCCAUAGAACAGCUCACUACAUGGCAACUGGCUUCUAUCAAAGUGAGCAAUAAGGAAGUAAGCAAGAGAGGUUUGCAAGACAAAAGCUACUAUCUCUUUAUAAUCUAAUCUCAGAAGUAGCAUCAUAUCCCUUCUGCCAUAUUCUGUUCAUUAGAAGUAAAUCUCUGGGUCUAGCCAUACUCUAUUGCAGAGAUCACACAAGGGUGUGAAUACAGACACAGGGAUUGUUGGGGCUCAUCUUAGAGGUCGUCUCCCAUAGAGUUAGCUGCCAAUCUGAGGGGUCACAGGGACCCAUGCAUCUGGGCCAGAACACUGGGAUUUCAUCCCUUAAGCAGGACAACAUUCAUUCAGAAACAUAUAUAUAUGUUUAUAUGUUUCUCACUAAUCAAAGAGAGAAGCAAGGCCUGUCCCUGACGAGCUCCCUUUCUCAGAUCCGCCCUGAACUGCCUAAGUUAAAUCCAUGUACCUUGACUAGGUGAACCAUAGAGUCCAAGCCUAGAGUUGGGUCCUGGGUUUAAUCCUGGUUCUGUCUUAGCCCUAUGACCUUAGGCCACUUCUCUUCGGCUUGGUUUUCUUUGCAUCAGGAAGUGUCGGAUUAGAUCCCAACAAUGGUUCUCAAAUUGGAGUGCCUGUGAAAAUCACCUGGGGUCAUUUGAAAAAUUCCUGAUGCCUAGCACACCCCUGACAAAUUAAAUCAGAAGAUCUGAGGGUGAGAUUCAGGCAAGAGGACUUCUUAACAGCUCCCCAAGUGAUUUCAUUGUUCAGCCAAGGUUGAUAACUACUCAUUUAGAAGAUUGGUAAUCCUAACUCUGGUACAUGGGAACUAUCUGAGGAGCUUUAAAAACAAAUACAGAAGCCAGAAUCUUAGGACAAUUAAAAUAGAAAUCCCUGGGGGUUGGUCCCAGACAUGGUGUCUUUCAAAGCUCCCCAGAUGAUUCUAAUGUGUAGCCAGAUUUGUGGACCCUCAGGUUUAAUGAUCUUCAAGAAUCCUCUAUCUAAGGUUCUAAGCUUGUCCGAAUGGACUUGUAGAGCUAUAAGCACGUGUACCACCUUCUCAGGAAGGUGGCCGCUCCAAUGCUCUCUGACUCUAAAGAAUGAAAUGAUUAUUCCCACCCGAACAUCCAUCUUCUCUGGGUUUACCGUCCCCUACUUACAGUCCGUAAAAAGGUCACCCUAGACUUGACCUCAGUCUCAUUGUGACACACACAGCACGCCAGCGUUCUUAACCUUUUUGGUUACAGAGACCCUUUUAGAAACUUCAUGAAAAUUGUAAGUCAUCUCAUAAGGAGGAUCUUACAUGCACAUCAAAUUGAGCAUACAAUUUUCAUGGAUCCCUAAACUCUUGAUACAAAGUUAAUUCUAUCUCACUAUAAUAUAAAAGUCAAAAACUUACAUAACCCAGAAAAGCAGAAUUUGCAACAUAGUAGAAAUAGACCAGAGUGAAAGUUCUAAUCCUGGUUCCACAACUCACCAGUCAACAUUUAGGAGUCACUGAAUCACUUGAUGCCUCAGUUUACUCAUAUGCCCAAUUAAGAAUUAUAAAAUCAUGCACCACAUAAUGUCUUGGUCAAGUACAGAUCACAUAUGACGAUGGUUUCAUAAGAUAAUACUGUGUUUUUACUGUACCUUUGUCACUGUGUUUAGAUACACAAAUACUUACAUUAUGUUACUAUUGCCUAUGGUAUUGAGUAUAGUAACCUGCUGUACAGAUCUAUAGCCUAGGAGCAAUAGGCUAUACCAUACAGCAUAGGUGUGUCACAGGCUCUCCCACCUUGGUUUGUGUAAGUACACUCUGUGAUGUUUGCACACAACGAAAUCGCCUGAUGACACAAUGCUCAGAAUGUGUCUCCAUCAUUAAGAGAUACAUGACUACCUACCCCAUCAAUCUUGCCUAUUCCAGAAACAAAGUGAAAUUAAUAAUAUAAAAUUGGUUUGAUCAAUUUAUGAAUUACAUUGUCAUUGAAAGUAGGAGAACUAGACCAGGAGGCACUGGUGUGACCCUGGAGUAGAUGGAACUGUUUGUGCAUGUGUCUUUCUUACCUUCCAUUCUCAUAAAGAAUUAGCACAUUCCCCACAUACACCCUGGCCAGACCGUGUCUUUGGGACUGCAGCACUAAGGUGUGUUUUUGUUUGUUAACUUAUUCCCAGUGCCUGUGUUGACCAGGAGGCUUUGGGAAUAAAGGUACAUAAAGGUCUUGGAGCCUGGAUGAGCCUGUGGUCAAGAGAUGGCAGGCAGUGUCCUUGAAUUUGGAAUGUGACUCACACUCUGCCUGUAGGGGAAGAAAAGAGAGAUCAGACUGUUACUGUGUCUAUGUAGAAAGGGAAGACAGAAGAGACUGCAUUUUGAAAAAGACCUGCACUUUAAACAAUUGCUUUGCUGAGAUGUUGUUAAUUUGUAGCUUUGCCCCAGCCACUUUGCCCCAGCCACUUUGACCCAACCUGGAGCUCACAAAAACAUGUGUUGUAUGAAAUCAAGGUUUAAGGAAUCUAGGGCUGUACAGGACGUGCCUUGUUAACAAAAUGUUUACAAGUAGUAUACUUGGUAAAAGUCAUCGCCAUUCUCUAGUCUCAAUAAACCAGGGGAACAAUGCACUGUGGAAAGCCGCAGGGACCUCUGCCCUUGAAAGCGGGAUAUUGUCCAAGGUUUCUCCCCAUGUCAUAGCCUGAAAUAUGGGCUCCUGGGAUGAGAAAGACCUGACCGUCCCCCAGCCUGACACCCUUAAAGGGUCUGUGCUGAGGUGGAUUAGUAAAAGAGGAAAGCCUCUUGCAGUUGAGAUAGAGGAAGGCCACUGUCUCCUGUCUGCCCCUGGGAACUGAAUGUCUCGGUAUAAAACCCGAUUGUACAUUUGUUCAAUUCUGAGAUAGGAGAAAAACCGCCCUAUGGUGGGAGGUGAGACAUGUUUGCAGCAAUGCUGCUUUGUUAUUCUUUACUCCACUGAGAUGUUUGGGUGGAGAGAAACAUAAAUCUGGCUUACGUGCACAUCCAGUCAUAGUACUUUCCCUUGAACUUAAUUAUGACAUAGAUUCUUUUGCUCACAUGUUUUUUGCUGACCUUCUCCUUAUUAUCACCCUGCUCUCCUGCUACAUUCCUUUUUGCUGAAAUAAUGAAAAUAAUAAUCAAUAAAAACUGAGGGAACUCAGAGGCCGGUGCCAGUGCAGGUCCUUGGUGUGCUGUGUGCCGGUCCCCUGGGCCCACUGUUGUUUCUCUAUAC
Molecule: long non-coding RNA, 3979 nt
Filed under: Homo sapiens (human)
Lineage: Eukaryota; Metazoa; Chordata; Mammalia; Primates; Hominidae
Description: non-protein coding lnc-LYZL1-15:28
Source: RNAcentral